UACGUAGGGUGCAAGCGUUGUCCGGAAUUAUUGGGCGUAAAGAGCUCGUAGGCGGUCUGUCACGUCGGCUGUGAAAACCCGAGGCUCAACCUCGGGCCUGCAGUCGAUACGGGCAAACUAGAGUACUGCAGGGGAGACUGGAAUUCCAGGUGUAGCGGUGAAAUGCGUAGAUAUCUGGAGGAACACCGGUGGCGAAGGCGGCGUUCUGGACUGCAACUGACGCUGAGGAGCGAAAGCGUGGGGAGCGAACAGG
This 253-nucleotide ribosomal RNA is filed under the name uncultured bacterium. RNAcentral's name for it is "partial 16S ribosomal RNA". It matches the Rfam family "Bacterial small subunit ribosomal RNA", at positions 524 to 776 of the family's 1533-position model. The record is from RNAcentral.